RNAcentral lists this ribosomal RNA (253 nucleotides) under uncultured bacterium. Its description in RNAcentral is "partial 16S ribosomal RNA". It matches the Rfam family "Bacterial small subunit ribosomal RNA", at positions 524 to 777 of the family's 1533-position model. The record is from RNAcentral.
UACGGGGGGGCAAGCGUUGUUCGGAAUUACUGGGCGUAAAGGGCUCGUAGGCGGCCAACUAAGUCAGACGUGAAAUCCCUCGGCUUAACCGGGGAACUGCGUCUGAUACUGGUUGGCUUGAGUGUGGGAGAGGGAUGCGGAAUUCCAGGUGUAGCGGUGAAAUGCGUAGAUAUCUGGAGGAACACCGGUGGCGAAGGCGGCAUCCUGGACCAUUACUGACGCUGAGGAGCGAAAGCCAGGGGAGCAAAGCGGG